Molecule: ribosomal RNA, 447 nt
Filed under: uncultured bacterium
Lineage: Bacteria
Description: bacterial SSU rRNA
Rfam family: Bacterial small subunit ribosomal RNA
Source: RNAcentral
GAUGAACGCUGGCGGUAUGCCUAACACAUGCAAGUCGUACGAGAGUUUUUAAUUCUAGUGGCGGACGGGUGAGUAACACGUGAGAAUUUACCUUUAGGAGGGGGAUAACAAUUGGAAACGAAUGCUAAUACCCCAUAUGCUUUUGAGUGAAAUGGAUUUAUAAUUAUCCGCCUAAAGAAAAGCUCGCGGCUGAUUAGCUUGUUGGUAAGGUAAGAGCUUACCAAGGCGACGAUCAGUAUCUGGUUUGAGAGGACAAUCAGACACACUGGAACUGAGACACGGUCCAGACUCCUACGGGAGGCAGCAGUGGGGAAUUUUCCGCAAUGGGCGAAAGCCUGACGGAGCAAUACCGCGUGAGGGAAGACUGCCUAUGGGUUGUAAACCUCUUUUUUCAGGGAGGAAUAAAAUGACGUGUACCUGAAGAAUAAGCAUCGGCUAAACUCCGUG